This 254-nucleotide ribosomal RNA is filed under the name uncultured bacterium. RNAcentral describes it as "partial 16S ribosomal RNA". It matches the Rfam family "Bacterial small subunit ribosomal RNA", at positions 524 to 776 of the family's 1533-position model. The record is from RNAcentral.
UACGUAGGGUGCGAGCGUUGUCCGGAAUUAUUGGGCGUAAAGAGCUCGUAGGCGGCUUGUCGCGUCGGAUGUGAAAACCUGCGGCUCAACCGUGUGGUCUGCAGUCGAUACGGGCAGGCUGGAGUUCGGUAGGGGAGACUGGAAUUCCUGGUGUAGCGGUGAAAUGCGCAGAUAUCAGGAGGAACACCAGUGGCGAAGGCGACUUCCUGGCCUGUUCUUGACGCUGAGGCGCGAAAGCUAGGGGAGCAAACGGG